Molecule: long non-coding RNA, 246 nt
Filed under: Marmota monax (woodchuck)
Lineage: Eukaryota; Metazoa; Chordata; Mammalia; Rodentia; Sciuridae
Source: RNAcentral
GGGUGCCCAGGUGAGGAGCAGGGCUGUGUUUCCCAUAAGGAGCCUUCAGGGCCCAGAGGCCAGCUAAUUCCACUCCUCUGCCCCAGGUGAGUAGAUCCUCAGAUAAGGACCAGGACCAAAGGAUGGCCAAAGGAGGGCACUGUGUGGGGAAACCCGGGUCCAGAAGCGGGGCAGGAGUUGCUGGGUGGGUGGGAGCCAGGACCCAUUGGAGGAGCCCUGGCUAGGGAGGAUCAGGGGGAGCAGAGG